GUUAGUCUUCUCAUCAUUGUUCUAAUUGCCCCUUCGGUCCUUUUAGUAGCAUUGUUAGCAUGUGAAAUAGCCAUCAUGUGUUAGAUUUUGUAUAAUUUCAGAAUCUUAUGGUAAAUAUUUUCAGUUUUUGACUGAUUUGUGCGUAUUGACAUAAUUUCGGAUUUUGGGUGAUGUUUAUUUUGGUUUGGAUCUGAACGCAUGCACCGAAUGCUUGGCAGGUGUUAGCGUCAUAGUUGAAAACUUCUGUAAAAUGAUGAAAUCUUUUCCUUGGGAUGCAUCUCUGUCACACUGUCAGUGGUGUGCUCUGCAAAUUUGGAAAAAUCUGAGAGUUGAUUUUUUCUUUUUUGUCCUUUUUCAUUUGUCGUGUAGCUAUAUAUUCCCAUAAUUUAGUGGUCAUUUGCAACCCACUAGUGCAUUCUUGUCUACCUCUUGUAAUUUUAUAUACCUACCACACACCAUGU
This 461-nucleotide unclassified non-coding RNA is filed under the name Hevea brasiliensis (rubber tree). Lineage: Eukaryota; Viridiplantae; Streptophyta; Magnoliopsida; Malpighiales; Euphorbiaceae. The record is from RNAcentral.